UCCGAUAAUAGCAAACUCGUAGUAAUACGGGGACGCAAAACCAUGGGUCCAGGAUACAAGGAUCGCCAGGUUACCGAAG
This 79-nucleotide non-coding RNA is filed under the name Desulfuromonadales bacterium. Its description in RNAcentral is "c-di-GMP sequence". It matches the Rfam family "c-di-GMP-I-GGC riboswitch aptamer". Lineage: Bacteria; Pseudomonadati; Thermodesulfobacteriota; Desulfuromonadia; Desulfuromonadales. The record is from RNAcentral.